RNAcentral lists this long non-coding RNA (333 nucleotides) under Sus scrofa (pig). RNAcentral describes it as "lncRNA (ENSSSCG00070015970.1)". The record is from RNAcentral. Lineage: Eukaryota; Metazoa; Chordata; Mammalia; Artiodactyla; Suidae.
AUGGGACCUGUGAGUCAACCUUGGUUCAGCACAAGAAAAGACAGGAACUUGUAUUCUGUGGUUUAUCCUCAUUGGCAGGAACCAUCUGACCAGGCAAGGAGCCACAUUUUGGGGCCUGCUUUUAGCUCUUGCUCCUGGGCUCAUGUCUUCAGUCGGACCCUCAAGCCAAGAUUCCACCAGGGCAUGAAUAUUUCCAGGCACAACUCUUCCCCAGGCAAAGAUCUGAAUGGGACCUGCUGUCUAUGGGGAAGGUUGAGUCAGCCUUGGUCCAGCACAAGGAAAAGACAGGAACUUGUGUCCUGUGGCGUAUCCUCAUUGGCAAGAAGCAUGUGA